Molecule: ribosomal RNA, 433 nt
Filed under: uncultured bacterium
Lineage: Bacteria
Description: partial 16S ribosomal RNA
Rfam family: Bacterial small subunit ribosomal RNA
Source: RNAcentral
AACGAACGCUGGCGGCAUGCCUAACACAUGCAAGUCGAACGAGACCUUCGGGUCUAGUGGCGCACGGGUGCGUAACGCGUGGGAACCUGCCCUUAGGUUCGGAAUAACUCCCCGAAAGGGGUGCUAAUACCGGAUAAUGUCUUCGGGCCAAAGAUUUAUCGCCUUUGGAUGGGCCCGCGUUGGAUUAGCUAGUUGGUAGGGUAAAAGCCUACCAAGGCGACGAUCCAUAGCUGGUCUGAGAGGAUGAUCAGCCACACUGGGACUGAGACACGGCCCAGACUCCUACGGGAGGCAGCAGUGGGGAAUAUUGGACAAUGGGCGAAAGCCUGAUCCAGCAAUGCCGCGUGAGGGAUGAAGGCCUUAGGGUUGUAAAGCUCUUUUACCCGGGAUGAUAAUGACAGUACCGGGAGAAUAAGCUCCGGCUAACUCCGUG